AUGAACGCUGGCGGCGUGCCUAAUACAUGCAAGUCGAGCGAACAGACGAGGAGCUUGCUCCUCUGACGUUAGCGGCGGACGGGUGAGUAACACGUGGAUAACCUACCUAUAAGACUGGGAUAACUUCAGGAAACCGGAGCUAAUACCGGAUAACAUGUUGAACCGCAUGGUUCAACAGUGAAAGACGGUCUUGCUGUCACUUAUAGAUGGAUCCGCGCCGCAUUAGCUAGUUGGUAAGGUAACGGCUUACCAAGGCAACGAUGCGUAGCCGACCUGAGAGGGUGAUCGGCCACACUGGAACUGAGACACGGUCCAGACUCCUACGGGAGGCAGCAGUAGGGAAUCUUCCGCAAUGGGCGAAAGCCUGACGGAGCAACGCCGCGUGAGUGAAGAAGGUCUUCGGAUCGUAAAACUCUGUUAUUAGGGAAGAACAAAUGUGUAAGUAACUAUGCACGUCUUGACGGUACCUAAUCAGAAAGCCACGGCUAACUACGUG
Molecule: ribosomal RNA, 496 nt
Filed under: uncultured bacterium
Lineage: Bacteria
Description: partial 16S ribosomal RNA
Rfam family: Bacterial small subunit ribosomal RNA
Source: RNAcentral